Peromyscus eremicus (cactus mouse) is the source of this 1077-nucleotide long non-coding RNA. RefSeq lists it as uncharacterized. NCBI's taxonomy places the organism in Eukaryota, Metazoa, Chordata, Mammalia, Rodentia, Cricetidae. The record is from RefSeq and is a predicted model, not a curated record. The transcript has 4 exons.
UGCUUGGCAACGAGAUGCUAAAGGUACAGGAUUGGCUGCCAAGGUCUAGUUGGAGCAGAAAAGAUGAUGAGGGAAGGUGGGAAAAUAGAGAAACACCCCGGGGGAACACAAAGGCACAGGAGAGAAGCAGAAGACAGGACCAGAAUGAAGAGAAUGUAAAUACAGAAGCAAGAAGAGAGAGCCCGUGACCUCCCUAGGGCUGGGUCACCAUUUGUGUAUUUGCUAAAAUGCCCUCCUAGAAACAACGGCAAAACAAACAAGUAUGGAUGGAAUGGAAAGAACCCAAAGACUCCUCAGAUGCCCAAAGACCUGACUUCCAUCCAGAUUAAUGAACCCACUGUCUAUGAAGCCCAAGCAAACCAUGAACUGGAGCCAGUUGCUCAUCUGUUGAGAGGAUGCCACUCUCUCCCUCACAGCAGUGAAGAGGAGCUUAUUCAAGAACAUUGAUGAGAUGGAGUAUUACUCAGUGGUAAAAAACAAUGAUAUCAUGAAAUUUGUAGGCAAAUGGAUGGAACUAGAAAAAAAAAAUCAUCCUGAGUGAGGUAACCCAGAUCCAGAAAGACAAACAUGGAAAGGACAGGAAGAAAAGCUCUUGGGAUUGUAGCAUCAAGAGAGACUUAGGAUGACUAUGGAAGGCAGCCUUGAUGGCGAAUGUGUGAAUGUUCCUUGGAACCACCUGGCUUGGUCUUCGUCUUGGACACAUGGAUGGUUUGGAACUGAAGGCAGGAAGAAGCAGAAAAUAUGUCUCAGAGGUGGAGCCAGCAAGGAGAUGCACCGGCUGCCUCCACCUGGAUGCUGUCUCUGUGGGAACCUUCCUCUGCCCCAGCCUGGGUGCCUUCCUGGUCAGGGGUCAUUCCAAGUACAAAGGCUUUGAGAAAGGACUGUCCCAGGGAGCCCUAAUGAAUGAGGGGAACACAGAAGAGCCAACAGCUUAAGACCCUUCCCCUGAGGGCAGAUCAUCUGGCCUGAGCUGCUCCUUUGGAUCCAGGCCCAGAACUUGGCCUGUAACUUUAAAAUUCAGUCCCUAUUUUGAGCGCGCAGCAAGCACCUCAUAACAAACAGCUGGAAAGAGAAGUU